This is a long non-coding RNA of Diceros bicornis minor, 833 nucleotides long. RefSeq lists it as uncharacterized. The record is from RefSeq and is a predicted model, not a curated record. The transcript has 4 exons. Lineage: Eukaryota; Metazoa; Chordata; Mammalia; Perissodactyla; Rhinocerotidae.
CGGCGCAGCAACAAAUAGCCUCAGCCCCACCUCCGAGUGUUGUUAUCAGAAGCUCCGCCCUGUCCCCGCCCACCUCCCUGCGAAAGCCCAAUCAGAAUGCGACGGGGCAGGCCACGCCCCGCCGGGUUCGCCUCCACCGCCUCAGAGAGACACACACAAACAACUAGCUUGCUGCAGCCCGGCACAAAGAGCGCGCACUGCGCAGGCGCUGCCAGCGGGCUCUUUGGCCAAGAGUGGGUCCCGCGAACAAUGAAGUUCCGUCUCAGCGUCACCUCCCCCACCCUUCUUUUUCGUAGCCCCAGCACUUCGCCUUGAAGGUCAGCAAAUUGACGUUGGGUUUGGGAUCCAAUGAGGAGAAUGGCCUGGCAAAAGUUGGUGGUGAAGAGCAGGCAAAGAUUAUGGAACCUCUGGAAUGAGUUCCCAGGAAUCCAAGAGAAGUGAGAGAACCUAUGGAAACUCUGGGGAUCUCUGACCUUUCUUGGAAAGUUGGAUUUCUAGCAACACUGUCCCAUCAUCCGUGGUGAAGCGACAGUUGGCUGGAGAUCUAGAGAUGAGGACAUCAUCCUGGAUUAUCUGGGUGGGUCCUAAAUCCAGUGACAAGUGUCCUUGUAAGAGACACACAGAACAGAGACACACAAAAGAGGAGGAGGCAGUGUGACCACAGAGGCAGAGAUUGGAGCGAGACGGCCACAAGGAAAGGAACACCCAGAACCACCAGAACCUGGAAGACACGAGGAACUGAUUUUCCCCUGGAGCUUUCAAAGGGAGCACAACCCUUCCUUUUGGACUUCGAGCCUCUAGAACUAAGAGAGAAUAAAUUUCUGUUGUUUUAA